RNAcentral lists this ribosomal RNA (253 nucleotides) under uncultured bacterium. RNAcentral's name for it is "partial 16S ribosomal RNA". It matches the Rfam family "Bacterial small subunit ribosomal RNA", at positions 524 to 776 of the family's 1533-position model. The record is from RNAcentral.
UACGUAGGGGGCAAGCGUUGUCCGGAAUCAUUGGGCGUAAAGAGCGUGUAGGCGGCCAGAUAAGUCCGCUGUGAAAUCUCGAGGCUCAACUUCGAGCUGUCGGUGGAAACUGUCUGGCUAGAGUCCGGAAGAGGAGAAUGGAAUUCCUGGUGUAGCGGUGAAAUGCGCAGAUAUCAGGAAGAACACCCGUGGCGAAAGCGGCUUUCUGGUCCUUAACUGACGCUGAGGCGCGAAAGCAUGGGGAGCGAACGGG